This 128-nucleotide microRNA precursor is filed under the name Hordeum vulgare. The record is from RNAcentral. Lineage: Eukaryota; Viridiplantae; Streptophyta; Magnoliopsida; Poales; Poaceae.
AAGAUAAGAGCCACUCGGGCUAGCCUAGGAGACUGCCUGUACGCAAUGAGAGACCGAUCAAGAGAGAAAGAGAUCACAUUCAUAGCCACUGGCAAGUCAUCCUUGGCUACCAGAAGAAGCCAUUACCA